Long non-coding RNA from Fundulus heteroclitus (mummichog), 1308 nucleotides. RefSeq lists it as uncharacterized. NCBI's taxonomy places the organism in Eukaryota, Metazoa, Chordata, Actinopteri, Cyprinodontiformes, Fundulidae. The record is from RefSeq and is a predicted model, not a curated record. The transcript has 4 exons.
CAGGGAGGGAGGAGGGAAUGCAGGGGGUUGAGGGGAGUUGUAGCAGACAUGGCUGGCUUUGUGGGAGAGAUUUUCUAAAAAUGAUAGACUGAGAAGAUACUCACAGAAUUGGACAAGACACUGAGGAGGAGAAGCUCCUCCUGAUGAGUGUUAAUGAGCUACAGCUGUAGGAUCAUGCAUGCCAGUGACACGUACAGAGCUGUUGCAGGAAAGCUGAGUGGACGCGGCGCGGAGCGGUCUCCUUUUCUGCGGCCAGGCCAAGCUGUGCAGGACUAAAGCUGACCCGGGAGCGAGCCACACCUCUGCCAUGCAAAGAUCCACAUGCUGCAGCCCCCGCAGCGCUGAGCUUCCUGGCCUGAUACCCACAUAAAAAGGACCUUGGAACCGCCUCUUCACAGCCCCGCUUCGAGCUAGACACCUGCUCGCUGUUGCUUCUGAGACAGCCAGCCUUCACCCUGCUUCAACUGCCUCCAACUGAAUGUCCCAAAGUAACCAAAUUGACACAGAGGCAGAGACAGGCUUAGCAGAGUUGGAAAUGGAAAGUCAAAUGGUUUAUUUUAAAUGGUUUUACUGUUUUGAUUUAAGCUACGACUGAAGUAAAAGCCCUGGAGUUAACAGGCAUAGCUUCUGUUAACAUUCGUGGAAACCAAGCUUUGCUGAUAUAGUAUCAGUGUGUUUUUACGGUUAUAAAAAACUUUAUUUCCAUAAGGGUUUUAUACAUCAAUGGGAAAUUAAUGGUUGUGUUUUCCGGUGCGCUCAUUACGAACAAAUGGAGCUUAAGGUCCUUUUAAAUUACUGCCGAAUUUUUGCUAGUAUAGCAAAGCUAUGCAAGCUGUUAUCUUCCAGGAUAGCAUUAAUGCUACCACCGAGUCAACGCAACUACAGUUCGUUUUAAACAUAAUGAUUGUUUUCAUUUACUCCACCAUUGUUCCAUAGUGCUAUUAGUGUUAUGACAGUAUUGAUAUAGAACAUUAAUGCCAAUUUAAUGGUUUGCGUUUUAAUAAUUUCUCGAAGAAAUAAUGGCAUUAAUAAAAUCAAGUGUCCUAAGGGCAUUGAUUUUCACUGAGGAUUCCAUUCUUUAAAAUGUUAGUUUCUCAAAUAAUGUUUUGUUUAACUCUGGAUCUACAUUGUGAAUGGGUUGAAACACAUACCAAAUGUUGUUCUAAAUUAGUCAAGCUAAUUUGAUCUCAUUCCACAUCCUUUAAGAUGAACUUCAGUGUUCUAAUUUAGAUCUGCAGUAAACCAGGAUUCACUGAAUCAUUCUGAUGAUGGUUUUCAAUCAUUUUAUUUGUCUUUUGUUUCUUUUGU